This 253-nucleotide ribosomal RNA is filed under the name uncultured bacterium. RNAcentral's name for it is "partial 16S ribosomal RNA". It matches the Rfam family "Bacterial small subunit ribosomal RNA", at positions 524 to 776 of the family's 1533-position model. The record is from RNAcentral.
UACGUAGGGGGCUAGCGUUGUCCGGAUUUAUUGGGCGUAAAGAGCGUGUAGGCGGCCAGGUAGGUCUGCUGUGAAAACUCGAGGCUCAACCUCGAGACGUCGGCGGAAACCACCUGGCUAGAGUCCGGAAGAGGAGAGUGGAAUUCCUGGUGUAGCGGUGAAAUGCGCAGAUAUCAGGAGGAACACCGGUGGCGAAGGCGGAUCUCUGGGCCUUACCUGACGCUGAGGCGCGAAAGCUAGGGGAGCGAACAGG